AAUCUUAAUUUAUAACUAUUAUAAACUGCAAUAUGUUUCUGGCAAAUAUAUUAAAUCUAAAUUAAUUAGUGCGUGAAUAAUUGAUUAAAUUUGCCGCGCGAGUGGAAACGCGAGCCGUUGCGCGACCGUAAAGUGCUUAAAGCAGCCAGUUAAAAGUGUAACCAUCAAAAAAACGUAAACAAUGGACGAUAUCAAGCUGGCAAAGUGCGUGUGUGACAAUGGAUUUUACAAGAUUCAUGAAUAAAUUCAACGAAAUCGAACGCCAACUUUCGCCCACAUCGGCGCUGCGUCUGAGCUUUGAUAAUAUAUCGCCGGAGAGCGAGGAGCCGCCCGAUGGCAAGCGGCUGUGGGGUGUGCCAGUGCCACCAUUUGUCUCCGAUAAGGUCGUCUCCUGGAUCGCGGAGGAGUUCAACGAGGCGCCCGUUUACUACAACGGCAACUGUGUCCUAAAAAAGGUGGAAAAUGUGCGCAUGAUUGAUCGCUACAACACUAAAAAUCCUACAGUUGGCACUUUGUAUCUGACGGCCACGCAUCUGAUAUUCGUGGAGCCCGACAGCAAUAAGGAGACCUGGAUUCUGCACAUGCACAUUGCCAGCAUUGAGAAGCUGCCGCUUAGCACAACCGGUUCGCCGCUUUUGAUACGCUGCAAAACUUUUCUGUCGGUGACAUUUGUCAUACCCAAGGACUCCGAGUGCCAUGAUGUCUAUACUUCGCUAAUCAAACUCUUUCAGCCGGUCUCCAUCAACAAGUUGUACUGCUUCAACUAUCAGCCAGCCAAGGAUGAUUACCCCAAAAAUGCUGGCUGGGACUUUUUCAAAUUGGAGGCAGAGUUUAAGCACAUGCUGGUGCCCAACGACAACUGGACGCUGUGCUCCAUGAACGAAAAGUACGAGCUGUGCGACACGUAUCCGCGUCAGAUCUAUGUGCCCAAGGAGGCCACCACAUUGAUGCUCAUAAGCAGCUCACGUUUUCGCUCCAAGGGUCGCCUGCCCGCAUUGACCUAUUUGCACAACAAUAAGGCGUCCAUAUGCCGCUGCAGUCAGCCAUUGUCGGGCUUCAGUGCCCGUUGUCUCGAGGACGAGCAAAUGCUGGAGGCCAUACGCAAAACCAAUCCCAAUACCGAUUACAUGUUCGUUGUGGAUACGCGACCGCGCAUCAAUGCCAUGGCCAAUCGUGCCGCCGGCAAGGGCUAUGAGAACGAGGCCUUUUACGAGAACAUCAAGUUCCAUUUCCUUGGCAUUGAGAACAUUCACGUACAGCGCGCCAGCCUACAAAAGGUGCUGGAGGCUUGCGAACAGAAAUCACCCACGAUGAGCGCAUUUCUGAAUGCCCUAGAGUCAUCCGGCUGGCUUAAACACAUUCGCUCCAUAUUGGACACGUCGAGCUUCAUUGCCAACGCCGUCGACAAGGGCGUCUCCGUGGUUGUACACUGCUCGGAUGGCUGGGAUCGCACUGCUCAAGUUUGCUCGCUGGCGCAGCUCAUGUUGAAUCCUUACUAUCGCACAAUUAAGGGCUUUCAGGCGCUCAUCGAGAAGGACUGGCUGGCGUUUGGGCACAAGUUCAGCGAACGCUGCGGCCACAUACAGACGGAUGCGCGCGAGGUGUCGCCAAUCUUUACGCAGUUCCUGGACUGCACCUGGCAGCUAAUGUCCCAGCGCAGCGAGUCUUUUGAAUUCAAUGAACGCUUUCUGCUCAUACUCCAUGACCAUGUGCACUCGUGUCAGUUCGGCACUUUUGUGGGCAAUUGCGAGAAGGAUCGCCUGGACCUGAAGCUAGCCGAGCGCACAUUCUCGCUGUGGGGCUACAUGGCCAACCAUCUGAACGAGUACAUAAAUCCGCUGUAUAAACCCAACAUAGAUGAGUCGAUCAAAGCCAACCUGGCGCCACAGUGCAUCAAGUUCUGGCGUGGCAUGUACAGCCGCUUUGAAAGCGGCAUACACCCACGCGAGCCAUUGGGUGAUUUGCUGCUGGACAGCAAGGAGCACUGUAACUCCCUGGAGGAUCAUGUGCAGCACUUGACGAAACGUAUUGCCAGUUUCAAAAACUACAUUUCCAAGUCGGCCAAGAAGCUGCAGGAUGCCACCACCACAACCACCACAAAAGCUAGCAAGGAGACGACCACCAACGAGAUCAAUGACAACAAAUACAAUUAUGACAAGAAGCUAAGCGAAUUGUCCGCCGCUGAUGAUGAUCAUCCGCUUAAGGCGAGCAACAUGUCAUUUGCCAAUCUCUCGUUAAAUGCCGAACAGGCGAGCACCCAGACUUUGACCGAGGAAAUCUCUUCCGUGGCCCUUGAUUGGAAGUCCAUGCGAAACGUAACCACCUGCUCCUGCUCCACGCCCUUCGAUCAGUUCAGCAAGAAGACACAUUGCUGGCGUUGCGGCGAGAUCUUCUGUGAGCGUUGCAUUGAUAAGAACGUGGCGUUGCCUGGACACGAUAGCGGCAAGCCGGUGCCCGUUUGUCGUGGCUGCCACCGACAGAUGCAAAAACAGAGUCCAUAAGCCCAAUUCUAGCAUAAUCCUAGUUAUAAAUUGUUGAGCAUGUGACGUGGAGUGAAUGUGGACAGCGUGCAAGCGAGUGGACGUAUUUGUUUCGGAAUCUCUAUCCAGACAGCAUUCCACA
RNAcentral lists this unclassified non-coding RNA (2622 nucleotides) under Drosophila virilis. RNAcentral's name for it is "GJ19990". The record is from RNAcentral. Lineage: Eukaryota; Metazoa; Arthropoda; Insecta; Diptera; Drosophilidae.